This 253-nucleotide ribosomal RNA is filed under the name uncultured bacterium. RNAcentral describes it as "partial 16S ribosomal RNA". It matches the Rfam family "Bacterial small subunit ribosomal RNA", at positions 524 to 776 of the family's 1533-position model. The record is from RNAcentral.
UACAGAGGUCUCGAGCGUUGUUCGGAUUCAUUGGGCGUAAAGGGUGCGUAGGCGGCGCGGUAAGUCGGGUGUGAAAUCUCGGAGCUUAACUCCGAAACUGCAUUCGAUACUGCCGUGCUUGAGGACUGGAGAGGAGACUGGAAUUUACGGUGUAGCGGUGAAAUGCGCAGAUAUCAGGAAGAACACCCGUGGCGAAGGCGGCUCUCUGGAACGCAACUGACGCUGAGACGCGAAAGCGUGGGGAGCAAACAGG